This is a ribosomal RNA of Loxodonta africana (African savanna elephant), 112 nucleotides long. The record is from Ensembl. Lineage: Eukaryota; Metazoa; Chordata; Mammalia; Proboscidea; Elephantidae.
GUCUAUAACCACACCACCCUGAAAGUGUCUGGUCUUGUCUGAUCUCAGAAGCUAAGUGGGUUGGUCCUGGUUAGUACGACUGGAGGCCGCCUGGGAAUACUGGAUGCAGGGU